RNAcentral lists this ribosomal RNA (458 nucleotides) under uncultured bacterium. Its description in RNAcentral is "partial 16S ribosomal RNA". It matches the Rfam family "Bacterial small subunit ribosomal RNA", at positions 338 to 795 of the family's 1533-position model. The record is from RNAcentral.
CCUACGGGGGCUGCCGUGAGGAAUAUUGGUCAAUGGGCGGGAGCCUGAACCAGCCAAGCCGCGUGAAGGAAGAAGGCGCCAAGCGUCGUAAACUUCUUUUGUCGGGGAACAAAGGGCGCCACGUGUGGCGUUGUGCGUGUACCCGCAGCAUAAGCAUCGGCUAACUCCUUGCCAGCAGCCGCGGUAAUACGGGGGAUGCGAGCGUUAUCGGGAUUUAUGGGGUUUAAAGGGUGCGGAGGCGGUCCGGAAGGUCAGCGGUAAAAGCCUGGGGCUCAACCCCGGCGAGCCGUUGAAACUGUCGAACUAGAGACGGCGAGAGGUACGCGGAAUGCGCGGUGUAGCGGUGAAAUGCGUAGAUAUCGCGCAGAACACCGAUUGCGAAGGCAGCGUACUGGCGCCGGACUGACGCUGAGGCACGAAAGCGUGGGUAUCGAACAGGAUUAGAUACCCGGGUAGUC